Molecule: ribosomal RNA, 1371 nt
Filed under: Triticum aestivum (bread wheat)
Lineage: Eukaryota; Viridiplantae; Streptophyta; Magnoliopsida; Poales; Poaceae
Description: partial small subunit ribosomal RNA
Source: RNAcentral
AUGGAUGCCACAGCCCUUAAUUAUGAAAACCAGAAGUUGGUGCAGCAAUUGGAAGCACAGAAGUCUGAAAUGCAUUUGUUGGAAGCUAAGUUCAAGGAGUUGAGGAAUGAACAAUCUUCUUAUGACAAUACUCUGAUUUCCCUGGAUAAGAUGUGGAAUCAGCUUGUUGAUGAUUUAAUCCUGCUUGGAGUUCGAUUUGGUGGUGGUUUGAACAAUUUGCCUGCACUUGACCAUGAAGAGUUGUCAGAAGAAUCCAUCGAGUUGUGUCCUUCUGAUGAAAUUUUUCUCUUCAUGCUCUUGAAGUCCAACAAUUAUGGAAAAAAGGGUGACAAUAGCUUGUUGGAAUUUGCUGAAGAAGCUCUUGCUUUGCGCCGUUCGGCAACUCUUGCUCUGAUGAGGUCCCUUCAAGAGGCUAUUGCUGCACAACAGGCUAGAAGUGAAUAUUUGUCAUUAGCUUUAAAUGGAGAGAAGUCAAAUGAAGAUGUUGUUGUUGCCCUUCAAAACCAUAAUGAUCACUUGAAAGAGGUGGUUGGCAAUGUCCUUGAAGCUAUUUCUAUCGUCGAUGAGAAGCAUAAAAGGUAUCUGGAUGAGAUUGAGGCUUUCAAAAGCAGCUACUCAAAAGAAUUGCAGGAAAUCAAGCAUCUUUCAGGAGAGCUAGAGGAAACCAUGGCGGAGCUUGAGGAAAGCCGACGGAAGUUGGUUAUUCUCCAGUUGCAAAGGCAUGGAAGUUCGCUAAUGAACAUGUCUGGUCCAAACGCCGUGAAUGGUGCUGUUUCGGCUGAUAAAUCUUCAGAUGAAAACAUGGGCUGGGGAGAUCUUAAAGAUGCUGUUGACGAAGCUAAGACCCUUGCAGGAAACCGCCUGCUUGAACUCCAUGAGACUCAAGAGGAUAAUCUAAUACUGUCUAACCAGUUAGAAAAUCUGCAGGCUCAAUUAAAAGAUGAUAACUAUAUUUUCACAUCAAAACCAUAUACGAUUCUUAGCGAUCAGUUACAUCAUCUGAAUGCUGAGAUAGAACGAUACAAGGGUUUGGUUGAAGUAUUACAGAAUGAUAAGAACCAGUUCUUGCAAAGGGAGAAAGAAAUGUAUGCAAAAGGAGAAUCCGUCGACAAUAUUAAACAAUCCAUUACCGCUUAUGAGGCCAAAAUCGAAGAACUGGAACAUCAGAUUCUGAAAUCCAUGGCUGAGAAGAAUGAUCUUGAGAUCAAAGUUGAGGAAUCAUUGCAAGAUUCAGGUAAAAAAGACUUCAAGGAUGAGAUUCAUGUCAUGGCUGCAGCACUCUCUAAAGAGAUGGAAAUGAUGGAGAAUCAAUUGAAUAGAUCAAAGGAUGCGGCUUCUGAAGCACUUGCAUUACGUGAAGAAGCUGAAUAG